RNAcentral lists this ribosomal RNA (305 nucleotides) under uncultured bacterium. RNAcentral describes it as "bacterial SSU rRNA". It matches the Rfam family "Bacterial small subunit ribosomal RNA", at positions 336 to 658 of the family's 1533-position model. The record is from RNAcentral.
CCCCUACGGGAGGCAGCAGUAGGGAAUAUUGCUCAAUGGGGGAAACCCUGAAGCAGCAACGCCGCGUGGAGGAUGAAGGUUUUCGGAUUGUAAAGCUCUGUCUUCAGGGACGAUAAUGACGGUACCUGAGGAGGAAGCCACGGCUAACUACGUGCCAGCAGCCGCGGUAAUACGUAGGGGGCAAGCGUUAUCCGGAUUUACUGGGUGUAAAGGGGGCGCAGACGGCGAUGCAAGCCAGGAGUGAAAGCCCGGGGCCCAACCCCGGGACUGCUCUUGGAACUGCGUGGCUGGAGUGCAGGAGGGGG